RNAcentral lists this long non-coding RNA (544 nucleotides) under Equus caballus (horse). Its description in RNAcentral is "lncRNA (ENSECAG00000047019.1)". Lineage: Eukaryota; Metazoa; Chordata; Mammalia; Perissodactyla; Equidae. The record is from RNAcentral.
CAGACUCCUGCAAAUGCUCAGGGUUCAGUUCAGAUGUCACCUCCUCCGAGAAGCCCUCCCUGAACCCCAUCCAUCCAAGUCUCCUUGGAUGUCCCUCACUGCUCUUAGCUCCAGUCAGACUCCACCGUACCUGCCGUUGACCUGUCUGCUCCCACUGGCUGUGAGCUCCAGAAGUUCCCGGAAAAAGCUUCAACUUCUGGCUGCUGUGGGAGGCUCGUUCCCGAGAAGAAAAAUGACCUCUGGUUGCAGUUCGCAUGGGACAUCUCCCCAGCUAGGCUGGGAGCUCGCUGAGGGCAGGACCUUGGCCCCUGAGAUCAAAGCCCUGGAAACCUUUCAAUCCAGCCUCUCAGGAAGAAAUAAAUCACAGAGCAAUGGUGUAAGAGGAUGCUGACCUCUGGGCUUUGAUUGAGAAGUAAUGUGAGACAGGACCUCUCACACUGGCUUGGAACCCUUCCUGCCUCAGUUUGCUCUGAGUGUUAGUGGCCUACACAAAGAUCUUAAACCCCACCAUUCACAUCUCUGAAUCUCCCACAGCAUCUAGCAG